GGAAGUAAAAGUCGAACAAGGUUUCCGUAGGUGAACCUGCGGAAGGAUCAUUAAUGAGUUGUCAUGGGGUUCGAUGCUGGCAGCCAGUUUUGGAUGCAUGUGCUUGCCCUAACAAUCAUCUUCUUCCAAACACCUGUGCACAUUUUUGAGGGAGUCUUGAGUUGGUUGCCGCUCUUGGGUGAUUUUCUCACAUUCCCUUAAAUCAUUAUACGCUAUUAACAAUGUUGAACGUGCUCUGUGCCGCAAGGCCAUUAAUAUAAUACAACUUUUAACAACGGAUCUCUUGGUUCCG
This 292-nucleotide unclassified non-coding RNA is filed under the name plant metagenome. Its description in RNAcentral is "partial contains small subunit ribosomal RNA and internal transcribed spacer 1". The stretch from base 1 to 53 matches the Rfam family "Eukaryotic small subunit ribosomal RNA", at positions 1778 to 1831 of the family's 1831-position model. The record is from RNAcentral.